Molecule: ribosomal RNA, 252 nt
Filed under: uncultured bacterium
Lineage: Bacteria
Description: partial 16S ribosomal RNA
Rfam family: Bacterial small subunit ribosomal RNA
Source: RNAcentral
UACGGAGGAUGCGAGCGUUAUCCGGAUUUAUUGGGUUUAAAGGGUGCGCAGGCGGCACGGCAAGCCGGCGGUCAAAUCGCGGGGCUCAACCCCGCCCAGCCGUCGGAACUGCCGGGCUAGAGUGGGCGAGAAGUGCGCGGAAUGCGUGGUGUAGCGGUGAAAUGCACAGAUAUCACGCAGAACUCCGAUUGCGAAGGCAGCGCACCGGCGCCCUACUGACGCUCAGGCACGAAAGCGUGGGUAUCGAACAGG